CCCUUUAGAUGUUCUGGGCCGCACGCGCGCUACACUGAAUGGAUCAACGUGCCUUUCCCGAGGCUGAAAAGUCGAGGUAAUCCGUUGAACCCCAUUCGUGACGGGGAUAGGAGCUUGCAAUUAUUCUCCUUGAACGAGGAAUUCCCAGUAAGCGCGAGUCAUCAGCUCGCGUUGAUUACGUCCCUGCCCUUUGUACACACCGCCCGUCGCUACUACCGAUCGGAUUGUCCUGUGAAUUUCUAGGAGAGUUGAGGUCCUGGCGCUUCGGUGUCGGCGACCUCAUGCUUGAAUUGAAUUGAACUGGACUCUCUAGAGGAAGUAAAAGUCGUAACA
This 333-nucleotide ribosomal RNA is filed under the name uncultured eukaryote. Its description in RNAcentral is "partial 18S ribosomal RNA". It matches the Rfam family "Eukaryotic small subunit ribosomal RNA", at positions 1469 to 1796 of the family's 1831-position model. The record is from RNAcentral.